This is a long non-coding RNA of Nematolebias whitei (Rio pearlfish), 196 nucleotides long. RefSeq lists it as uncharacterized. The transcript is spliced from 4 exons. The record is from RefSeq and is a predicted model, not a curated record. Lineage: Eukaryota; Metazoa; Chordata; Actinopteri; Cyprinodontiformes; Rivulidae.
CCACCAGGACCCCAUGGGCCCCCAGGACCUAUGGGACCUCAUGGCUUUCCUGGACCAAAGGGGGAGCCUGGUUUGCACGGUAUGAAGGGCAUGAGAGGGGAACCAGGACACAAAGGGGACCGUGGACCAUUGGGCCUCCCGGGCAUGGACGGACCUCCAGGUCCAGCUGGUCCAGCUGGACCAAAGGGUGACGUAG